GAAACGACAACUUUCCUACCAUCUUGGAGGCAGAGGAGAGAGGGGCCAAGGGGAGAAGUGCACCGGCUCCAGAUAAAGUCCAAAUUUCUACCUCUCAUCGCUGGAAAAAAGCCCAUACUUGAGAAAAAGUAGGGAAGAAUGAGAAAGGAAGUCGUGUGCUCCGUGGUGGGGAAUGUUUCUGCACCUUCUGAUGGAAAGAAAUCUUUACAAGACACAGAACACACGGAGAAUUUUAAUGUACAUAUUCAAGAACAAAAGCCUAUGAAGCUGGCCUGCAACUGUAGCAUUAAACAGCGGUGCCUCAAAACGUGGAUUUGUACCAACUAGAAGAACAACAUCUGCUUCUUCCACACCAGCAAUUGUGGUAUUGAGAAGAUAAUUGGAACGAAAAUGACAGCUGAGAAUAGUUGUAGCACUCAUCUUCAAUCCAAGUACUUAGGAGGUAAAGACAGAAAGUUCUUCUGCCACACAGAGUUCAAGGCCAGCCUGGGCUACAAGAAACUCAAAAAUCAAAAUGAAAUCCCAAACAGCAGCCUGGAGCACAGCUUAAUGUUUCUCACCCAGCUCCUUCAGUGGGGAAGAUCUCCUCAGUGCAUAAGUUGUCAGAGUCAACUUUAUUAAGCAAGUCUUUCAGAGCUACUAAGGCUUCAGCAUCCACCAAGCCACCUGCAAUC
Molecule: long non-coding RNA, 674 nt
Filed under: Mus caroli (Ryukyu mouse)
Lineage: Eukaryota; Metazoa; Chordata; Mammalia; Rodentia; Muridae
Description: lncRNA (MGP_CAROLIEiJ_G0004391.1)
Source: RNAcentral